GCCAGAGUGCAGUCUGACAAUGUGCUAUUCGCACCCCCCAAUGCACACUGCUUUCUUAAAUCUCUUGCCUGCUCUCUUUCUCUCACACACACACACACAUCCUCCACUAGUCCUGCUACAAUCUUACAAGCAGAUUGUAGAAACCUGGAGAGAAUCAGAGCAAAGAUCAGGGUAGCUGCAUCGCAUUCCUGUUUUCUGACUCAAGUGAGGGAGCCCCAGCUCAAGCCAGGAGGGGAGGAAGCAGGAUGCCAAGGACAGCCGGGAAAUCCACCUGGUCAGCAUCCUUCGCCUUGCCUUUGGUUUGGGUCCCCAGCUCUUACACCACUGUCUUUGGCCAUCAAUGCAGGCAGGAUAUUUGGUCCAUUAGGAGCUACAACUUACCCAUAGAGACGGGAUGUCCCCAUACAUCUUAUGAGUACCUUUCCAAGAUUGUUUUAUUAGUUGUACAUGACCACUGAGGAAGACACAUAUGUCGAAAUGCGUUUGGUCAACAUUUACUAUUUUGUAAUGGGCAUACUGUAUUAUCCCUUUUAAUUUGUUAGUCAUUGUGCACUCUCUAACCUGUUGUAUACCCUUUAAUCUCAUUCUGUGAGGCACAAAUGAACUGAUAUUUCAUGUACUGUAUAUGUUCCCAUGGGAUUUGCAGUUUUCUGGCCCAGUACUGAUUGCUCAUUUUAUGUUUAUGUCUGUUAGGGCGU
This is a long non-coding RNA of Sceloporus undulatus (fence lizard), 698 nucleotides long. RefSeq lists it as uncharacterized. The transcript is spliced from 3 exons. Lineage: Eukaryota; Metazoa; Chordata; Lepidosauria; Squamata; Phrynosomatidae. The record is from RefSeq and is a predicted model, not a curated record.